RNAcentral lists this ribosomal RNA (395 nucleotides) under uncultured bacterium. RNAcentral describes it as "bacterial SSU rRNA". It matches the Rfam family "Bacterial small subunit ribosomal RNA", at positions 28 to 417 of the family's 1533-position model. The record is from RNAcentral.
GACGAACGCUGGCGGCGUGCUUAAUACAUGCAAGUCGAGCGAGGCCCAUCCAGUGGCAACACUGGGGAAGGCCGAGCGGCGAACGGGUGAGUAACACGUGAGCAACCUGCCCCGAAGUCUGGAAUAACAUCGGGAAACCGGUGCUAAUACCGGAUUGCCCCACCUGACCGCAUGAUCGGGUGAGGAAAGAUCUAUCGCUUCGGGAGGGGCUCGCGGCCUAUCAGCUAGNGGCGGGGUAACGGCCCACCAAGGCGUCGACGGGUAGCUGGUCUGAGAGGACGACCAGCCACACUGGGACUGAGACACGGCCCAGACUCCUACGGGAGGCAGCAGUAGGGAAUCUUGCGCAAUGGGCGAAAGCCUGACGCAGCAACGCCGCGUGGGGAUGACGGCCU